GACGAACGCUGGCGGCGUGCUUAACACAUGCAAGUCGAACGGAAAGGCCUGCUUUCCCUUGUGGAUUGCGGGUACUCGAGUGGCGAACGGGUGAGUAACACGUGAGUGAUCUGCCCCCAACUUGGGUAUAAGCCUGGGAAAUUGGGUCUAAUUCCCGAUAGGACUGCAGGGUGGUGCCUGUGGUGGAAAACGAUUUUCUAGUGGUUGGGGAUGAGCUCGAGGCCUAUCAGCUUGUUGGUGGGGUAAUGGCCUACCAAGGCGGCGACGGGUAGCCGGCCUGAGAGGGUGGACGGCCACAUUGGGACUGGGAUACGGCCCAGACUCCUACGGGAGGCAGCAGUGGGGAAUAUUGCACAAUGGGCGGAAGCCUGAUGCAGCGACGCCGCGUGGGGGAUGACGGCCUUCGGGUUGUAAACUCCUUUCGACCGCGAGGAAGCCACCUGGUUGGAAGGGUGGUGACGGUAGUGGUAGAAGAAGCACCGGCUAACUACGUG
This 494-nucleotide ribosomal RNA is filed under the name uncultured bacterium. Its description in RNAcentral is "partial 16S ribosomal RNA". It matches the Rfam family "Bacterial small subunit ribosomal RNA", at positions 28 to 507 of the family's 1533-position model. The record is from RNAcentral.